UAGGGAAUCUUCCGCAAUGGGCGAAAGCCUGACGGAGCAACGCCGCGUGAGUGAUGAAGGUCUUCGGAUCGUAAAACUCUGUUAUUAGGGAAGAACAAAUGUGUAAGUAACUAUGCACGUCUUGACGGUACCUAAUCAGAAAGCCCCGGCUAACUACGUGCCAGCAGCCGCGGAAAUACGUAGGUGGCAAGCGUGAUCCGGAAUUAUUGGGCGUAAAGCGCGCGUAGGCGGUUUUUUAAGUCUGAUGUGAAAGCCCACGGCUCAACCGUGGAGGGUCAUUGGAAACUGGAAAACUUGAGUGCAGAAGAGGAAAGUGGAAUUCCAUGUGUAGCGGUGAAAUGCGCAGAGAUAUGGAGGAACACCAGUGGCGAAGGCGACUUUCUGGUCUGUAACUGACGCUGAUGUGCGAAAGCGUGGGGAGCAAACAGG
Molecule: ribosomal RNA, 429 nt
Filed under: Actinomycetes bacterium
Lineage: Bacteria; Bacillati; Actinomycetota; Actinomycetes
Description: Actinobacteria bacterium partial 16S ribosomal RNA
Rfam family: Bacterial small subunit ribosomal RNA
Source: RNAcentral